CAAUCUUUUCUGCCUGGAUCCGCACCUCAGCGUAAACAAAGCACCUUCAGAUUGAAAGGGGUACAAUUUGUUUGUUGAUUUGAACAACUCAGGUGUAACUGAAGGGUUUCAAUGGCUCUUUAGUUGGGCCAGAAAGGCACAUAUGAACCUUUAGUUGGGCCUUCAGUCGAGAUCGAAGACUUCUGCUCGCGGAGAAUACUCUCCCGGUCCCGACCGAUGCCGCUUCCUUCCCCCGUCCGCCGACGGCGCAUCCUCCUCCUCCUGUAGCUGGUCGCAGAUUGAGUGCGAGUCAUGGAUAUUAUCUCUCAGCUACAAGAGCAAGUGAACGCCAUGGGCUUGCUUAUCUUGAAUACCUUUGGAACCCUGCAGAGAGAUGCUCCCCCUGUCCGUCUGUCACCUAACUAUCCUGAGCCAGCAGCUAAUGCUUCAGAAGAGACCAUUGACAUUAUGGAGCAUCCAAAGACAAUGAGUGCCGCUCUAGUUGAAGCUGCAAAGAAGUUUGAUGUCCUUGUUACUGCCUUGCCCUUAUCAGGGGAAGAGGCUCAGCUCAAAAGAAUUGCAGAACUCCAGGCAGAGAAUGAAGCAGUGCGUUUGGAGCUUCAAAAACAACUAGAGGCCACAGGCAUGUUGUGUUCCUACCAUUCUAGAAUGGAGUUUUUCAGUUUUCUUGUUUGUAAUGGGACUACAUCAAAUCAUAUUAUUUUUUAUAUGAUGGUUUAUUUGAUCCAAAGCCAUACACUGUGUUUUAUGAAAUCUGGACCAAAGUUUGAGAAACUAGCAUUAGCUCGCUUUUGUAUGAAAAACACGAUACAAUAAAGGUGGUUUAUCCUUUGAUAUUUCAUUUUAAUGAAAGAUCAUAAAGAUAGACAAUACUUGUUUCCAUAUUCUCAUUGCAACUACAAAUUUAUUCGCUGAACAAAAUGAAAGAAGAUUCCAGUUACCUUUUUCUCUUCAUGCCUUAGGUAACAUUAUGCCUUAUUUUCACAGCCUACUUUCGUCUUGUUGAUUCAGAUAUAUUAAUACUUGGGAAGUCAAAGAAUACAGAAAACUGAUGUUUCUCUAAUGCACUCUUUGGUAAAAGAAGCAUACCAAAGAUACGGAAAAUGCUUCCUAGUGUUAUUUUUUUUGUUUUUGUAUAUUAAUUAUCGUUUACCAAAGUGUCCAAUGUAAAGUAAUUCUUCCUACAAUUUACUAUUCUAACUUGUUUAGCUUUUCUAAUGUAAGGUACUAGAUAGGUGAAUUAUUAUAGAUAACAUGAUAUAUGUUUAGCUUGCAAAUGGUAUAUAAUGGUGUUAAAUUGUGGAGUCUCAUGAAUUUAAUUCUUUUUGGACAAUUUAUUUUAACACAGAGAAAGAGUUGAAGCAGGUUCAGGAGCUCUUCGAUGAAGCGGCAGAUAACUGUUUGAACCUUAAAAAACCUGUUUAAUCAAAGUGCCAAGCACACAUGGUACUAGAGAUCCCUUCUUAUGAUGUGGGGGUUGAGCAGCAGCAGAGACAUUCUUUGAGCUGUGGGUCUUUGUAUAUUGAGUUUUUGGGAACCUGAAGUUCCAAAUUAUGCGUGAUUUGUAGUGCCAUUCGAUAGUUUCAACGUAAAAAAUAGCUUUCAGCAUAAGAUUUGUUUGGAUGUUAAA
This is an RNA transcript of Zingiber officinale, 1630 nucleotides long. It is a transcript of the gene named mediator of RNA polymerase II transcription subunit 21-like, with no coding region annotated. The transcript is spliced from 5 exons. Lineage: Eukaryota; Viridiplantae; Streptophyta; Magnoliopsida; Zingiberales; Zingiberaceae. The record is from RefSeq and is a predicted model, not a curated record.